Molecule: ribosomal RNA, 455 nt
Filed under: Clostridium perfringens
Lineage: Bacteria; Bacillati; Bacillota; Clostridia; Eubacteriales; Clostridiaceae
Description: bacterial SSU rRNA
Rfam family: Bacterial small subunit ribosomal RNA
Source: RNAcentral
GUCCCGCAACGAGCGCAACCCUUGUCGUUAGUUACUACCAUUAAGUUGAGGACUCUAGCGAGACUGCCUGGGUUAACCAGGAGGAAGGUGGGGAUGACGUCAAAUCAUCAUGCCCCUUAUGUGUAGGGCUACACACGUGCUACAAUGGCUUGUACAGAGAGAUGCAAUACCGCGAGGUGGAGCCAAACUUAAAAACCAGUCUCAGUUCGGAUUGUAGGCUGAAACUCGCCUACAUGAAGCUGGAGUUACUAGUAAUCGCGAAUCAGAAUGUCGCGGUGAAUACGUUCCCGGGUCUUGUACACACCGCCCGUCACACCAUGAGAGUUGGCAAUACCCGAAGUCCGUGAGCUAACCGCAAGGAGGCAGCGGCCGAAGGUAGGGUCAGCGAUUGGGGUGAAGUCGUAACAAGGUAGCCGUAGGAGAACCUGCGGCUGGAUCACCUCCUUUCUAAGGAA